Molecule: long non-coding RNA, 258 nt
Organism: Corvus hawaiiensis (hawaiian crow)
Lineage: Eukaryota; Metazoa; Chordata; Aves; Passeriformes; Corvidae
Exons: 3
Source: RefSeq, a predicted model, not a curated record
CGGCGCCAUGUUGGAAGAGGGAGGCGCUCGGUGAGGGUCGCGACGGGGAUGGAGGAACAGGCCCGGACACUCCUGAGGCUCGGAGCGACGUCCGGAGGCCGGAAAAAUCCAUUUGUGGGACUCGUUAAAGUGUAAAUCUAAAUAUUGAUAACAUUAUUUCUAUAAUUACAUAUAAUUAUUACCAGCUGCUACCUAUAUAUAAUUGUUCUAAAUAAUCUUAGAUAUUUCAACAAAAAUAUAUUUGUAAUAGAAAAAUGA